This 883-nucleotide ribosomal RNA is filed under the name Pseudomonas monteilii. Its description in RNAcentral is "bacterial SSU rRNA". It matches the Rfam family "Bacterial small subunit ribosomal RNA", at positions 9 to 888 of the family's 1533-position model. The record is from RNAcentral. Lineage: Bacteria; Pseudomonadati; Pseudomonadota; Gammaproteobacteria; Pseudomonadales; Pseudomonadaceae.
GAGUUUGUAUCCUGGCUCAGAUUGAACGCUGGCGGCAGGCCUAACACAUGCAAGUCGAGCGGAUGACGGGAGCUUGCUCCUUGAUUCAGCGGCGGACGGGUGAGUAAUGCCUAGGAAUCUGCCUGGUAGUGGGGGACAACGUUUCGAAAGGAACGCUAAUACCGCAUACGUCCUACGGGAGAAAGCAGGGGACCUUCGGGCCUUGCGCUAUCAGAUGAGCCUAGGUCGGAUUAGCUAGUUGGUGGGGUAAUGGCUCACCAAGGCGACGAUCCGUAACUGGUCUGAGAGGAUGAUCAGUCACACUGGAACUGAGACACGGUCCAGACUCCUACGGGAGGCAGCAGUGGGGAAUAUUGGACAAUGGGCGAAAGCCUGAUCCAGCCAUGCCGCGUGUGUGAAGAAGGUCUUCGGAUUGUAAAGCACUUUAAGUUGGGAGGAAGGGCAGUAAGUUAAUACCUUGCUGUUUUGACGUUACCGACAGAAUAAGCACCGGCUAACUCUGUGCCAGCAGCCGCGGUAAUACAGAGGGUGCAAGCGUUAAUCGGAAUUACUGGGCGUAAAGCGCGCGUAGGUGGUUUGUUAAGUUGGAUGUGAAAGCCCCGGGCUCAACCUGGGAACUGCAUCCAAAACUGGCAAGCUAGAGUACGGUAGAGGGUGGUGGAAUUUCCUGUGUAGCGGUGAAAUGCGUAGAUAUAGGAAGGAACACCAGUGGCGAAGGCGACCACCUGGACUGAUACUGACACUGAGGUGCGAAAGCGUGGGGAGCAAACAGGAUUAGAUACCCUGGUAGUCCACGCCGUAAACGAUGUCAACUAGCCGUUGGAAUCCUUGAGAUUUUAGUGGCGCAGCUAACGCAUUAAGUGACCGCCUGGGAAUUCGGCCG